RNAcentral lists this ribosomal RNA (492 nucleotides) under uncultured bacterium. Its description in RNAcentral is "partial 16S ribosomal RNA". It matches the Rfam family "Bacterial small subunit ribosomal RNA", at positions 29 to 507 of the family's 1533-position model. The record is from RNAcentral.
AGUGAACGCUGGCGGUAGGCCUAACACAUGCAAGUCGAACGGCAGCACAGUAAGAGCUUGCUCUUACGGGUGGCGAGUGGCGGACGGGUGAGGAAUACAUCGGAAUCUACUUUUUCGUGGGGGAUAACGUAGGGAAACUUACGCUAAUACCGCAUACGACCUACGGGUGAAAGCAGGGGAUCUUCGGACCUUGCGCGACUGAAUGAGCCGAUGUCGGAUUAGCUAGUUGGCGGGGUAAAGGCCCACCAAGGCGACGAUCCGUAGCUGGUCUGAGAGGAUGAUCAGCCACACUGGAACUGAGACACGGUCCAGACUCCUGCGGGAGGCAGCAGUGGGGAAUAUUGGACAAUGGGCGCAAGCCUGAUCCAGCCAUACCGCGUGGGUGAAGAAGGCCUUCGGGUUGUAAAGCCCUUUUGUUGGGAAAGAAAAGCAGCAGGUUAAUACCCCGCUGUUCUGACGGUACCCAAAGAAUAAGCACCGGCUAACUUCGUG